CAGCCGCCGCGGUAAUACGGAGGGGGCUAGCGUUAUCCGGAUUUAUUGGGUUUAAAGGGUCCGUAGGCGGACUUAUAAGUCAGUGGUGAAAGCCUGUCGCUUAACGAUAGAACUGCCAUUGAUACUGUAAGUCUUGAGUAUAUUUGAGGUAGCUGGAAUAAGUAGUGUAGCGGUGAAAUGCAUAGAUAUUACUUAGAACACCAAUUGCGAAGGCAGGUUACCAAGAUAUAACUGACGCUGAGGGACGAAAGCGUGGGUAGCGAACAGGAUUAGAUACCCCCGUAGUCCCUGUCUCUUAUAC
Molecule: ribosomal RNA, 301 nt
Filed under: uncultured bacterium
Lineage: Bacteria
Description: partial 16S ribosomal RNA
Rfam family: Bacterial small subunit ribosomal RNA
Source: RNAcentral